CGGUGGUGUAGUGGUAGCACGCGUCCCCGGUAAGAAUGAAACGAGGGUUCGAUUCCCGCCAAAGCGU
This is a non-coding RNA of Parelaphostrongylus tenuis, 67 nucleotides long. NCBI's taxonomy places the organism in Eukaryota, Metazoa, Nematoda, Chromadorea, Rhabditida, Metastrongylidae. The record is from the annotation of a GenBank genome assembly.